ACAAAAUGAUUAUCAAUGUGAAAAACAUAACUGAUGUGUAAUCAGAAGAUGGAGUUUAAAUCCUAGUUCUGUCAUUUAUCACUGUGUGACCUACAACAAGAUAUUUAACAU
Molecule: non-coding RNA, 111 nt
Organism: Ceratotherium simum simum (southern white rhinoceros)
Lineage: Eukaryota; Metazoa; Chordata; Mammalia; Perissodactyla; Rhinocerotidae
Source: RefSeq, a predicted model, not a curated record